This 471-nucleotide ribosomal RNA is filed under the name Veillonella dispar. RNAcentral describes it as "bacterial SSU rRNA". It matches the Rfam family "Bacterial small subunit ribosomal RNA", at positions 28 to 476 of the family's 1533-position model. The record is from RNAcentral. Lineage: Bacteria; Bacillati; Bacillota; Negativicutes; Veillonellales; Veillonellaceae.
GACGAACGCCGGCGGCGUGCUUAACACAUGCAAGUCGAACGAAGAGCGAUGGAAGCUUGCUUCUAUCAAUCUUAGUGGCGAACGGGUGAGUAACGCGUAAUCAACCUGCCCUUCAGAGGGGGACAACAGUUGGAAACGACUGCUAAUACCGCAUACGAUCUAAUCUCGGCAUCGAGGAUGGAUGAAAGGUGGCCUCUAUUUAUAAGCUAUCACUGAAGGAGGGGAUUGCGUCUGAUUAGCUAGUUGGAGGGGUAACGGCCCACCAAGGCGAUGAUCAGUAGCCGGUCUGAGAGGAUGAACGGCCACAUUGGGACUGAGACACGGCCCAGACUCCUACGGGAGGCAGCAGUGGGGAAUCUUCCGCAAUGGACGAAAGUCUGACGGAGCAACGCCGCGUGAGUGAUGACGGCCUUCGGGUUGUAAAGCUCUGUUAAUCGGGACGAAAGGCCUUCCUGCGAAUAGUUAGAAGGA